GAGUUUAAAUCCAGCCAUCCUCCCCCGCGUUGUGAUCCUCAAGCUUGGCGGGUUGUUGUUCUUCCCUCUAGAACCGGGGUUUAUUACGAUCACCUUAUACUGAGUGUGGUGGCCCAGUACUAGGCCUGAGAAGCUCAGCUCGACCAAUGGCAUUUGGGUCAAGCUUCAAACCUCUUUGUCUCCUUCUCCCUCAAAGUGGAGGUGAUAGUUCAACCUAAGGGUGUAGCAAGCUGACUGACAUCAAGUACUUCCGUGUUUGCAGUGUAGGGAAAAAAGAUUCCCGGGACUUGGCCCAGUGCUUGGCUGUGGAUCUCUGCAUCUGUUCCAUCAGUAACUGGACGAAGGCUCUCCGAUAACAAUUGGGAAACUUCCCUCCAUGUACAAGGAGAGAGUCUAGAGAUGGCAAUCACCUUCAAAGCCUAUCCCCAGUGACCCACAGCACCAGCAGCUGAGGACCAAGUGUUCAAAUCCACAGUCGUGUAGAGGGCAUUUUGUAUUCAACCACAGCAGCAGAGCUAUUGAGAGGAGAUGGAACCUUCAAGGGGCGGCCUGGGAAGAGGUAUUUAGAUCGCCGGGGCUGGUUCUUGAGGGAGGUUGUGGAGCCCCAACUAUGUCACUUGGUUCCCCAGCUGUGAAGUGAGGUUUUAUUUUGUUACAUGUUCUUCCAUGGUAUGCCAUCCCAGGUCCAAAGUAACAGAGAACCCACCAGGGACCAAACUCUCCAAAACUGUGUGCCAAAAACAAACAAAAAAACAAAAACUACAACAACAAAACAAAAAGCUCUUCUCUCUUUUGAGUUCACUUUCGUGAGUGCUUGUUACAGUGACAGAAAGCUGAGCAGCCAUGGUCAGACAGAACAAAACACCAACCUCAUUAAAUAACAGCAGGCAUUUCGUCUGCAUACCAACACAAAUCUGGUGACAUGGAUUGGGACUAAACCCAGUGUCACUUUCCAGCUCUGGGUCUCAGAUCCAUGACUAGUUCUGAGGCUCCGUUUCUGCCUUUUAAAAAUCUAGAUGAUAACCACUUAUCAAUUUGCCUUAAAGAGUAAACCUGAUAAGCCAUUCCAAGCAUAGGGUCCAAUGACUGACAUAGGGCAACUGUUGGACACCACCUGUUUUAUGACACAAAAAUGAUUUUUUUUCCCUAAGUGAAUGUCAAUGCCUGAUUUUUAAAAUUUCAUUUCCUAAACUUUAAUAAGCAUUAAUCAAUAAAUCUACAAAUAAGUAAGUAAAUAAAAUGGACAUAUCCUUAAAGUAAGAAAAAAAUGGAAGUUUUUCCCCAGAGUUAAACAGUUCUCUGGCAUUUUAGCUCCGAGAGCUUCCCAGACCUUGUCUAUGGCUGUGAAAACGACAGUUUUUCCCCAGAGUUAAACAGUUCACUGGCGUUUUAGCUCCGAGGGCUUCCCAGACCUUGUCUAUGGCUGUGGAAAGGAUCAACAAUAGGAAAAGUAUCAUGAAGCCACGUGCUGUGGAUGAAGGUUGGGCUCCGGUGUUCAAACAGAGUUAUCUGGUGGGUCCAAGGAAGUGUUUCAGAGCCCAGAGCACACUGGCUUGCUCCUCCCCAACAUUUUAGGGCCUAGCCCUGAAGCCACCAACGCCAAGAGACUCUCGCGUAUCUCACACAGGCUAGACCCGUGCUGGCUCAAGUCUCAAAGAAACAUGUGAUCCUAGGCUUCGGUGAACCAGGGAAAAGUUCAUAAGAAGCAAAAAAUACAAAGAAGAUUUGAUAACUACAUCCUGCUUCCAUGUCUUCCAAGCUAUGGAAGUGCCCACCCUGGACUGUCAGCAACUAGAAUGGGAUAUUCGCUUGUCUAAAGGGAUUGAGCAUGAUGUUAGUGGUUCCUACAGGGCAAAAAUGUGGGGCCUGGGAUGUUCAAAAGAAACUAUCAAUCUAGAAUUUGAUGUAAAAUAUGAAUUCUUAAAUGUUCACAGAAAUGCAUCACAUUUCUGGGCAAGUGGUCCAACAAGCUGCCUGUUAGCAGCCUGUGUUGUAGGAAAGAGAGUUGAACAGUCCAGUAGUACUGUCUGGGCUUGACUCCUGGCUCUGGGUACUGUGUCAUGAGCAGUGCUAUCAAACGUCACUUAACCUGUGCUUCGUCCCCUCCCUUCUCUAACAUCAGGACAGAGCUUCAAGGAUUGCUAGAAAGACGAAGAUGAUGCAGCUGGAAACCCAUCUUCAGCUUCCAUCUUUCUCUAACUUCUGUCCUCUCCCUUCUCCCUCCUUACUCAAUAAACUGAAACUAACCUUCCUUCCUUCCUUGUUUAAAGCAAACUAAGGGACACUUUUGUAAAAAAAUCACUUGUCACACGUUUUUCGAGGGAAAUUAUCCAUGAUCAGCCUACAAGGCACAGUGCUGGGCCAGCUGUUCAUGUGACCCGACUUACAGCUGUGAUAUUAAGCAAACCUGGAGAGUUUCUUUCUGUCUUUUUACUGCUGUGUUCUUCAAAAGAUAAGAGCACAGGGGCCAUAUUAAAGCAACAACAUUUCCAAAAUUAAAUUCUGGCAAUAUAUUCACCUGUGGUCCUGACUAGGAAAUGAAGGGAAGACCCUGAACCAGCGGAGAAGCCCUCCAGUGCACACUCUCAGGUUUUCAAAAAGGAAGGAGGAGAACAUAACUAAAGGAGAAGGGGAGGGGUGUCCUAGGCCCGUAACAUUAUAAGGCUGGGGCUCAAAACAAGCCUGAGACUUGCAGAAACUGCUCAGAAACAGCACAGGCUGCCUUGUGCAAGUGUAUUGGGAACAGGAAGAAGAGGGGAGAGCCAGGACCAGUACUUGGAGCAGAUGGUGUAAUGCCAGCAGAUGACAGUCGGACAGCAGAGUUACCCAAGUCCUACUCAGCUUCCAUCAUCUCUGUCUCCAAGAAGAAUUCUCAAAGGGGAACGGGUAGUAUAAACAUGGUGGAGAGGAAAUUGCAGCCCUGGGUGUGAAGCUUCACGGAAAUGAGUAUCCACCUUGGGUCUAGGAUAGGUUCCUGGGGAUGGAAAGAACUUGGAGAUUUAAUCAGAGAGCCCUUGUCAGGAAUUUUGCACAAGUCUUGGUAUUCAUGCCAAAGGAUUAGUGAUGGGCAAAUGUCCGAGUUGUCAAAAGUGAGGAAUGUGUAGGUUAGGGAAACGCUGCACUGCAGAGCUUAGCUUUGAUCCACAGCAAACUCUAACCUGCAUUAUUAAAGAGAUUGUAAUCACUUAGAAAAGGAAGUGGUGAUCUCAAGCAGCCAGGGCAAGCUCUGUAGACAAACCACACCAUGCUAUCAUCAUCUUGUAUUUUUCUCUUUUGAAAGGUAUCCAAAACUCACAAGACUGUUUUUUAGCAAGUCUCUCAGCAAGGCUGUGGACAAACCCUUUUACAAGCUGGGUAGCUAGUGACUGAGGGACCGACUGGUUGAAGUCCUCGUUGAACAAACCACCAUACCCAGGAAGCCCUCAGACAGUGUCAUACUAACUCAGAGGGGGACUGAACAGGAUGCCACCAGCCCUUGUUUGGGCCCAGUGACACAAACAGUAUGCCGGCUUGCACAUGUGGACAGACACAAAGCGAGAAGAGUAACUAACAUGCUGCUGUGUGGUAGAGGCGGGAUGGGCGUCUACCAACAAGAAGCCAAAGGAAACACAGCAGGAUGCAAUGGGAGGGAAACAAAGGUUCUUUAUGUCAGUUAAAAAAGAAAAAAAUGGAAAAAGCUCAGUUCUUUGAAGCACUGAAGCAAGACAACAUGAAAAAGUCUUAAGAAUUUUAGUUAAGAAAAAGCCGGCGUGACCAAAGAAACAGUUCUUGGUACAGACAAAGACAACUGGACAAACAAACAAACAAAAAUGAGCAGACCUCCAUGACUGAGAGGAAUUUGUUGAGAGCAGGGCGGUGAGACUGGAGCUAUUGUCUGUGUCUGAGCAUCCUGGCUUACUAUGGGCACCACGUUUCCCCUGCACUGCCACCUUUGUUAUUCUUUUAGUCCUGAAAGAAUACAGUCAUCAUCACAAAGGGCAGCAUGGCAGAAAGAAGAAAAAAGUCACUUUACGUUCACUUCGUAGACAACUGUUGCCAUCUUGGUAUAGAUCCCUGAAGUCUU
Peromyscus californicus insignis is the source of this 4063-nucleotide long non-coding RNA. RefSeq lists it as uncharacterized. NCBI's taxonomy places the organism in Eukaryota, Metazoa, Chordata, Mammalia, Rodentia, Cricetidae. The transcript has 3 exons. The record is from RefSeq and is a predicted model, not a curated record.